This is a long non-coding RNA of Zingiber officinale, 731 nucleotides long. RefSeq lists it as uncharacterized. NCBI's taxonomy places the organism in Eukaryota, Viridiplantae, Streptophyta, Magnoliopsida, Zingiberales, Zingiberaceae. The transcript is spliced from 3 exons. The record is from RefSeq and is a predicted model, not a curated record.
UCUCUUCUCCUCCGCCGAACUCACCGUGCCCUAACCUCCUAACGCCGGCGGUUACCUCUUCCUCUCCGAUCGAACGCCGGCCAAGCUUCUUCUUCCUCCUCGCCAGCGUUUGAGCAAGAGCCGGCCGACUUCCUUUCCUCCCGGAGCACGCGACACGCUGACCCUUUUUCUCCUUUUCUUCACUCCGCGGUGCCCUAGAUCUGCAGCGUGCGGCCGUUGCACAAAACGCCAGCACGGCGCCGACCAUCGCGGGAGUGCUCGAGUCUUUUCUCUCUCUGUGCCCUAGUUUUGGGUUUUACAGCUGUUGCCGCACCUCUGCAACUCACUGUCACCGGCCACCGUUUUGAUUCGCUGAGCCUUAGUCAUCUUCUCAGCCAUGUUUUCUCCACCCGACGGCGUCGCCAUCCGUAGUGCCGCCGACCUUCUCCACCCCGUCGCCUCUGCCCUAGCCGAACCUUGAAGAAAUUGGAGAGGCAGGGGGAAACAGUGAGGAAGGGCUCUGCUGUGCAGUGUUCCGACAGCAACAAUUAGAGUUCCAGCAGCAAUAAAUUUAAGCUGGCAGCAACAGACCUGGUGUGGAUCAACAAGCACGGCUACAAGUUAGCAAUUUAUUGUGUUGCUAGCAGCGACAAGUCGAUCUCCAAUUGUGCUGUUGACAGAAUCUUUAGAGUUGUGAGGACUUUGACGCGAGACGAGUAUCUCGGAGUCAGAUUUGGACCAUUUUAUCGGAG